Molecule: ribosomal RNA, 253 nt
Filed under: uncultured bacterium
Lineage: Bacteria
Description: partial 16S ribosomal RNA
Rfam family: Bacterial small subunit ribosomal RNA
Source: RNAcentral
UACAUACUGUGCGAACGUUAUUCGGAAUCACUGGGCUUAAAGGGUGCGUAGGCGGCGAUUCAAGUCAGAUGUGAAAUGCCUGAGCUCAACUGAGGCAUUGCGUUUGAAACUGGAUUGCUGGAGUGUCCCAGGGGUGUGCGGAACUGCCAGUGGAGCGGUGAAAUGUGUUGAUAUUGGCAGGAACACCAGAGGCGAAAGCGGCACACUGGGGGAUAACUGACGCUGAGGCACGAAAGCCAGGGUAGCGAACGGG